RNAcentral lists this long non-coding RNA (842 nucleotides) under Felis catus (domestic cat). RNAcentral describes it as "lncRNA (ENSFCAG00000049026.1)". The record is from RNAcentral. Lineage: Eukaryota; Metazoa; Chordata; Mammalia; Carnivora; Felidae.
GGGCGGGCAUGGUCACGCAAGCCUCUUGAGGAAGGACGAAUGGGAAUCAGCAAAGUGCAGGUGGAGAAGAUAGAUGUGAAAGGAAUUGGGGGAAGACUGUAUGCAAAGUCCUGGGAGUAAAAUUCCAGGUUAAUUUGCCAACCAGGUUAUUUAUUAUAAGAGAUUAAAGAGAGCACUGUACCCGUCAGGUCCUGAAUUCUUGGUCUACAAGCUGGCCGACAAGCUGUGGGAGCUGGAAAGAAGUCCAGCAUUGCUGGCGAAACACUUAGUCCAGGUUUCUAGUACAGUGCCCUGAAAAGAUGCACAGAGAAGACUGAAAUGGGCAGCAGAGGAGGAGACUAAAGGAAAGACAGAGUCAAACUUUGCAUGAAAUUUCUGCUAUCAUUGAUGGAGAUGCCUUGAGAUUAUUAUUUUUGGACUACACCCAAGUUUUUACAUCGGAACAAAAUAAAGAGCCUCAAGGGUGAUUGGAAGAGCUAUUAAGUCAACCCCCAUGUAAAGGCAGCCAUCUUCUCAAUAAGGAUUUCCCAACCUUGCCCCAUUUACACUUGGAACCAGUUCCUCCAGCCCUUGCUUGUAACCCGGAUUCCACCUCUGAUAGAGAUUUGGAGGCUGCUGCUAUUGUCCAAGGCACUGGUAAGUACAGAGUGGUCAGGGCAUCCGCCAGCUCACAAACCUCAGUGGAUCCAUAUUUUGGGCAUGAUUGUUCUGUUCAGAGUGGCUGGUAUGUCCAAAACCGUUAGUAUGCUGGAUGUAGUUAAUAUGUUAGAUCUUCACUAUCUCCACAAUGGUCAAUUUUUCCAGGCCAGUGAGGUCUGUCUUGUUUGUUUGCAUUUCUGUGG